UGGGGAAUCUUGCGCAAUGCGCGAAAGCGUGACGCAGCAACGCCGCGUGGGGGAAGACGGCCUUCGGGUUGUAAACCCCUUUCAGGAGGGACGAAGGCUCACCGGUGAAUAGCCGUGUGGGUUGACGGUACCUCCAGAAGAAGCUCCGGCUAACUACGUGCCAGCAGCCGCGGUAAUACGUAGGGAGCAAGCGUUGUCCGGAAUCAUUGGGCGUAAAGCGCGCGUAGGCGGCCCUGUAAGUCCGCUGUGAAAGUCAAAGGCUCAACCUUUGAAAGCCGGUGGAUACUGCAGGGCUAGAGUCCGGAAGAGGCGAGUGGAAUUCCUGGUGUAGCGGUGGAAUGCGCAGAUAUCAGGAGGAACACCAAUAGCGAAGGCAGCUCGCUGGGACGGUACUGACGCUAAGGCGCGAAAGCGUGGGGAGCGAACAGGAUUAGAUACCCUGGUAGUCCACGCCGUAAACGAUGGGCACUAGGUGUGGGAGGUGUCGGACUCCUCCCGUGCCGUCG
Molecule: ribosomal RNA, 506 nt
Filed under: uncultured Actinomycetes bacterium
Lineage: Bacteria; Bacillati; Actinomycetota; Actinomycetes
Description: bacterial SSU rRNA
Rfam family: Bacterial small subunit ribosomal RNA
Source: RNAcentral